RNAcentral lists this ribosomal RNA (253 nucleotides) under uncultured prokaryote. RNAcentral describes it as "partial 16S ribosomal RNA". It matches the Rfam family "Bacterial small subunit ribosomal RNA", at positions 525 to 777 of the family's 1533-position model. The record is from RNAcentral.
ACAGAGGUGCCGAGCGUUAGGCGGAAUCACUGGGCUUAAAGCGUGUGUAGGCGGAUGGGUAAGUACCUUGUGAAAUCCCACGGCUCAACCGUGGAACUGCUCGGUAUACUGCUCGUCUUGAGCCAACUAGGGGCGACCGGAACAAACGGUGGAGCGGUGAAAUGCGUAGAUAUCGUUUGGAACGCCGAUGGUGAAAACAGGUCGCUGGGGUUGUGCUGACGCUGAGACACGAAAGCCAGGGGAGCGAACGGGA